Molecule: ribosomal RNA, 796 nt
Filed under: uncultured archaeon
Lineage: Archaea
Description: bacterial SSU rRNA
Rfam family: Archaeal small subunit ribosomal RNA
Source: RNAcentral
CGGCUCAGUAACACGUGGACAACCUACCCUUAGGAUGGGGAUAAACCCGGGAAACUGGGUAUAAUACCCAAUAGAUCUGGUCUGCUGGAAUGCUUCCAGAUUUAAAACUCCGGUGCUAAGGAUGGGUCUGCGGCCUAUCAGGUUGUAGUGGGUGUAGUGUACCUACUAGCCUACGACGGGUACGGGUUGUGAGAGCAAGAGCCCGGAGAUGGAUUCUGAGACACGAAUCCAGGCCCUACGGGGUGCAGCAGGCGCGAAAACUUUACAAUGCUGGCAACAGCGAUAAGGGAACCUCGAGUGCCAGGUUACAAAUCUGGCUGUCGAGAUGCCUAAAAAGCAUUUCAUAGCAAGGGCCGGGCAAGACCGGUGCCAGCCGCCGCGGUAACACCGGCGGCUCGAGUGGUAACCGUUAUUAUUGGGUCUAAAGGGUCUGUAGCCGGCCGGAUAAGUCUCUUGAGAAAUCUGGCAGCUUAACUGUCAGGCUUUCAGGAGAUACUGUCUGGCUCGAGGCCGGGAGAGGUGAGAGGUACUUCAGGGGUAGGGGUGAAAUCUUGUAAUCCUUGAAGGACCACCAGUGGCGAAGGCGUCUCACCAGAACGGACCUGACGGCAAGGGACGAAAGCUAGGGGCACGAACCGGAUUAGAUACCCGGGUAGUCCUAGCCGUAAACGAUACUCGCUAGGUGUCGGCCACGGUGCGACCGUUGUCGGUGCCGUAGGGAAGCCGUGAAGCGAGCCACCUGGGAAGUACGGCCGCAAGGCUGAAACUUAAAGGAAUUGGCGGGGGAGCACAAGGG